GGCUUAGAGUUUGAUCAUGGCUCAGGAUGAACGCCGGCGGCGUGCUUAACACAUGCAAGUCGAACGGACAAGGAGAGCUUGCUCUUCUUGUUAGUGGCGGACGGGUGAGUAACGCGUGAGCAAUCUGCCCAUAUCAGGGGAAUAACAGUUAGAAAUGACUGCUAAUACCGCAUAAGACCACAGGAGGGCAUCCUCCAGGGGUAAAAGAUUUUAUCGGAUAUGGAUGAGCUCGCGUCCUAUUAGGCAGUUGGCGGGGUAACGGCCCACCAAACCGACGAUAGGUAGCCGACCUCAGAGGGUGAUCGGCCACAUUGGAACUGAGACACGGUCCAAACUCCUACGGGAGGCAGCAGUGGGGAAUAUUGGGCAAUGGAGGAAACUCUGACCCAGCAACGCCGCGUGAGUGAUGAAGGUCUUCGGAUUGUAAAACUCUUUAAGUGGGGACGAAGAAAGUGACUGUACCCACAGAAUAAGCCUCGGCUAACUACGUGCCAGCAGCCGCGGUAAUACGUAGGUGGCAAGCGUUAUCCGGAAUGACUGGGCGUAAAGGGUGCGUAGGUGGUUUGGCAAGUUGGCGGCGUAAUUCCGAGGCUCAACCUCGGCGCUACCGCCAAAACUGUCGGACUUGAGUGCAGGAGGGGUAAGUG
RNAcentral lists this ribosomal RNA (647 nucleotides) under uncultured bacterium. RNAcentral describes it as "bacterial SSU rRNA". It matches the Rfam family "Bacterial small subunit ribosomal RNA", at positions 1 to 663 of the family's 1533-position model. The record is from RNAcentral.